GACGAACGCUGGCAGCGUGCCUAAUACAUGCAAGUAGAACGCACAGUUUAUACCGUAGCUUGCUACACCAUAGACUGUGAGUUGCGAACGGGUGAGUAACGCGUAGGUAACCUGCCUGGUAGCGGGGGAUAACUAUUGGAAACGAUAGCUAAUACCGCAUAAUAUUAAUUAUUGCAUGAUAAUUAAUUGAAAGGUGCAAUUGCACCACUACCAGAUGGACCUGCGUUGUAUUAGCUAGUAGGUGAGGUAACGGCUCACCUAGGCGACGAUACAUAGCCGACCUGAGAGGGUGAUCGGCCACACUGGGACUGAGACACGGCCCAGACUCCUACGGGAGGCAGCAGUAGGGAAUCUUCGGCAAUGGACGAAAGUCUGACCGAGCAACGCCGCGUGAGUGAAGAAGGUUUUCGGAUCGUAAAGCUCUGUUGUAAGAGAAGAACGGGUGUGAGAGUGGAAAGUUCACACUGUGACGGUAUCUUACCAGAAAGGGACGGCUAACUACGUG
Molecule: ribosomal RNA, 505 nt
Filed under: uncultured bacterium
Lineage: Bacteria
Description: partial 16S ribosomal RNA
Rfam family: Bacterial small subunit ribosomal RNA
Source: RNAcentral